RNAcentral lists this ribosomal RNA (775 nucleotides) under uncultured Neocallimastigales. RNAcentral describes it as "partial large subunit ribosomal RNA". It matches the Rfam family "Eukaryotic large subunit ribosomal RNA", at positions 22 to 637 of the family's 3401-position model. The record is from RNAcentral. Lineage: Eukaryota; Fungi; Neocallimastigomycota; Neocallimastigomycetes; Neocallimastigales.
CUAUACAUGACUCUGCGCAUAUCAAUAAGCGGAGGAAAAGAAACUAACAAGGAUUCCCCUAGUAACGGCGAGUGAAGCGGGAAGAGCUCAAAUUUGAAAUCUUAAAGGGUUUCCCUUUACGAAUUGUAGUUUAAAGAAGUGUUUUCUGUUGAGGUUUUGGUAAAAGUUCUUUGGAAUAGGACAUCAUAGAGGGUGAGAAUCCCGUAUUUGACCUUUACUUUCAACUUUGUGAUACACUUUCAAAGAGUCGGAUUGUUUGGGAAUGCAGUCCAAAAUGGGUGGUAAAUUUCAUCUAAAGGCUAAAUAUUGGCGAGAGACCGAUAGCGAACAAGUACCGUGAGGGAAAGAUGAAAAGAACUUUGAAAAGAGAGUUAAACAGUACGUGAAAUUGUCAAAAGGGAAGCGUUUGACACCAGUGUUGUUUUUCUGAAAAUCAAUUAAAGAACUGUUUAUGCUAAGUUGUUUAGACUUUAUCAGCUAACUGUUUAGUUUUGAGCUUUUCUUUAAUGCACUUUUCAGUUAACAAGUCAACAUCAAUUUCUUUUGCUGUAAAAAAGCUUGAGGAAGGUGGCUUGAGAUUCGUCUUAAGUGUUUAUAGCCUCUUGCCUAUGCAGUCGGAGAGAUUGAGGUCUGCAGCGUAGAUCCUUCGGGGCUAAAUGCAUUUGUGCUAAGUUAUAGCAUUUUAUAGACAACUUGUUGACUAUGAUUUGUCUUGUAGCUUACUCGCUUAUGUUAUUUUACCUACGCUUAGGAUGUUGACAGCAGUAUAGACUGU